Non-coding RNA from Picea glauca (white spruce), 127 nucleotides. The record is from Rfam. NCBI's taxonomy places the organism in Eukaryota, Viridiplantae, Streptophyta, Pinopsida, Pinales, Pinaceae.
AUGUGUAUUCAUAUAACAUGCAUCUACAUUCAACACUAGAUCCUAUUAGAACAUUAUGUUUAAGAACACUUAGAUUAGAGUAGUACUAGAAUGGGUGACAUUUUGGGAAGUCCUAGCAUUGCACCUU